This 1366-nucleotide ribosomal RNA is filed under the name uncultured beta proteobacterium. RNAcentral describes it as "bacterial SSU rRNA". It matches the Rfam family "Bacterial small subunit ribosomal RNA", at positions 29 to 1393 of the family's 1533-position model. Lineage: Bacteria; Pseudomonadati; Pseudomonadota; Betaproteobacteria. The record is from RNAcentral.
UUGAACGCUGGCGGCAUGCCUUACACAUGCAAGUCGAACGGCAGCACGGGUGCUUGCACCUGGUGGCGAGUGGCGAACGGGUGAGUAAUACAUCGGAACAUGUCCUGUAGUGGGGGAUAGCCCGGCGAAAGCCGGAUUAAUACCGCAUACGAUCUACGGAUGAAAGCGGGGGACCUUCGGGCCUCGCGCUAUAGGGUUGGCCGAUGGCUGAUUAGCUAGUUGGUGGGGUAAAGGCCUACCAAGGCGACGAUCAGUAGCUGGUCUGAGAGGACGACCAGCCACACUGGGACUGAGACACGGCCCAGACUCCUACGGGAGGCAGCAGUGGGGAAUUUUGGACAAUGGGCGAAAGCCUGAUCCAGCAAUGCCGCGUGUGUGAAGAAGGCCUUCGGGUUGUAAAGCACUUUUGUCCGGAAAGAAAUCCUUGGCUCUAAUACAGUCGGGGGAUGACGGUACCGGAAGAAUAAGCACCGGCUAACUACGUGCCAGCAGCCGCGGUAAUACGUAGGGUGCGAGCGUUAAUCGGAAUUACUGGGCGUAAAGCGUGCGCAGGCGGUUUGCUAAGACCGAUGUGAAAUCCCCGGGCUCAACCUGGGAACUGCAUUGGUGACUGGCAGGCUAGAGUAUGGCAGAGGGGGGUAGAAUUCCACGUGUAGCAGUGAAAUGCGUAGAGAUGUGGAGGAAUACCGAUGGCGAAGGCAGCCCCCUGGGCCAAUACUGACGCUCAUGCACGAAAGCGUGGGGGAGCAAACAGGAUUAGAUACCCUGGUAGUCCACGCCCUAAACGAUGUCAACUAGUUGUUGGGGAUUCAUUUCCUUAGUAACGUAGCUAACGCGUGAAGUUGACCGCCUGGGGAGUACGGUCGCAAGAUUAAAACUCAAAGGAAUUGACGGGGACCCGCACAAGCGGUGGAUGAUGUGGAUUAAUUCGAUGCAACGCGAAAAACCUUACCUACCCUUGACAUGGUCGGAAUCCCGCUGAGAGGUGGGAGUGCUCGAAAGAGAACCGGCGCACAGGUGCUGCAUGGCUGUCGUCAGCUCGUGUCGUGAGAUGUUGGGUUAAGUCCCGCAACGAGCGCAACCCUUGUCCUUAGUUGCUACGCAAGAGCACUCUAAGGAGACUGCCGGUGACAAACCGGAGGAAGGUGGGGAUGACGUCAAGUCCUCAUGGCCCUUAUGGGUAGGGCUUCACACGUCAUACAAUGGUCGGAACAGAGGGUUGCCAACCCGCGAGGGGGAGCUAAUCCCAGAAAACCGAUCGUAGUCCGGAUUGCACUCUGCAACUCGAGUGCAUGAAGCUGGAAUCGCUAGUAAUCGCGGAUCAGCAUGCCGCGGUGAAUACGUUCCCGGGUCUUGUACUCACCGC